AUUGAACGCUGGCGGCAUGCCUUACACAUGCAAGUCGAACGGCAGCACGGGGGCAACCCUGGUGGCGAGUGGCGAACGGGUGAGUAAUACAUCGGAACGUGCCCGGUAGUGGGGGAUAGCUCGGCGAAAGCCGGAUUAAUACCGCAUACGACCUGCGGGUGAAAGCGGGGGAUCGCAAGACCUCGCGCUAUCGGAGCGGCCGAUGUCAGAUUAGGUUGUUGGUGGGGUAAAGGCCACCAAGCCGACGAUCUGUAGCUGGUCUGAGAGGACGACCAGCCACACUGGGACUGAGACACGGCCCAGACUCCUACGGGAGGCAGCAGUGGGGAAUUUUGGACAAUGGGCGCAAGCCUGAUCCAGCCAUGCCGCGUGCGGGAAGAAGGCCUCGGUUGUAACG
This 397-nucleotide ribosomal RNA is filed under the name uncultured bacterium. Its description in RNAcentral is "bacterial SSU rRNA". It matches the Rfam family "Bacterial small subunit ribosomal RNA", at positions 29 to 430 of the family's 1533-position model. The record is from RNAcentral.